This 479-nucleotide ribosomal RNA is filed under the name uncultured bacterium. RNAcentral's name for it is "bacterial SSU rRNA". It matches the Rfam family "Bacterial small subunit ribosomal RNA", at positions 34 to 518 of the family's 1533-position model. The record is from RNAcentral.
CGCUGGCGGCGUGCUUAACACAUGCAAGUCGAACGAGGAUCAAGGAAGAGCUUGCUCCGAGAUGAUUCGAGUGGCGGACGGGUGAGUAACGCGUGAACAAUCUGUCUCAUACAGGGGGAUAACGCAUCGAAAGAUGUGCUAAUACCGCGUAGGACCACAGCAUCGCAUGGUGCAGGGGUGAAAGGAGCAAUCCGGUAUGAGGUGAGUUCGCGUCUGAUUAGAUAGUUGGUGAGGUAACGGCCCACCAAGUCAACGAUCAGUAGCCGACCUGAGAGGGUGAUCGGCCACAUUGGGACUGAGACACGGCCCAGACUCCUACGGGAGGCAGCAGUGGGGAAUAUUGGGCAAUGGGCGAAAAAGCCUGACCCAGCAACGCCGCGUGAAGGAAGAAGGUUUUCGGAUCGUAAACUUCUGUCCUUGGUGAAGAUAGUGACGGUAGCCAAGGAGGAAGCCCCGGCUAACUACGUGCCAGCCGCCGC